Molecule: non-coding RNA, 1862 nt
Organism: Megalopta genalis
Lineage: Eukaryota; Metazoa; Arthropoda; Insecta; Hymenoptera; Halictidae
Source: RefSeq, a predicted model, not a curated record
GAGCACAAGUGUGACUUCUGCGGUGUCUAAAUUCUUCCAGAAAAUAGUGUCUUCGAUUCUAUGGAGUGGAUGCUGUUUGUGGAAGCGAACGAGGAAUCCCGCGCGCGGCUUGUCCGACAACCACAACAACACUUGCUCGCCCGGAUCCGUGACACGGGAUUAAUCAAAUUCCAUUCUCUGAGCGAUUCGGCCACGAGACCCGGAAGACCGGCGGCCAUUGUGACGGGAAUGGCGUCAUCUGUCGUGGAUUUUCAGCUCGGCGAGACCUGUUCUCAAUUUUCUGAUGACGAGCAACACGCGGAGGAAUUUGUAAACGCAAUUGUCCAUUACUCAGACGUUUCACCAUUCUAUCUGCUGGACACCAGGAAACGAGAGCUAAGAAACGAAAGAACAAUGCAUUUCUAAUCGAGAUCCUUAUCACGUCGAAGAGCUCGCAAAUUUUCCAGGCCGACCGCACAAAUUGCCCGCGAAUUACGAAGCUGCGCGUAACAAGGAGCUCCGGCCAGUGACCCGCAGGAUCCUUCUUCUUCUCCACGGUCUUCCUCCGUCGGCGUGCGCUCGCAUAUACGAGCGAGGAAGGUGGCGGCAACGACACGUAGGGCACAGGUGCUGCGGCACGAUCGGUAUCGAGGCCAACCGAUCAUUGUAUCGACGACGAGAGUCCCGCCGAACGAAUUUCCAUAAAACGACCGCGAGAGAUAUACGGUAUUGUCCGGCAUCGGUCGCCGUCCCAUCCCUCAACCCCGGCCGCGGGAUCAAGAUCGAGAUUCCACCAGUGACCAGUCGGCGGCGACACGACGGAAAACCCGCGCCCCGUCCCCGUUGUAGUUAAAUUUCGAGCCCGCGGCCCAGCGUUCGAAAAACAUUCCUCGUUGACAAGCACAGAUGACGGGGCCGCAAUAUCGUGCUUCAUCAUCGUCAUACUCCAUUCUUCGUUCUAACAGAAAGCGAGGUGGGCAGUCGUUUCUCUUAGCCACCAGGAUUCUCGGUUAGGUGAUGUAGUGCGGCUGAGUGAUUUCACAAAGGCCCGGAGAGUUAGAGUUCCGACUCGUUAUGCCUAAAUAAUUUUUUUUCGUCGUUUAUAGCCGGCCAACACUCCGCCGGGGCCUGUUCGGGGCCCCGUUGUACGGCGAGGGGCGGCGCGGGAGGGGAGCAGGUUUAAGGGAAACGACACGGAGGAAAGAAGAGGCACGGGAGACGCAACCUGUCCCAUGCAUCUUGUGGGCAGGGGCGCUUCCGUCAGCAUCUACGGAUUCAUUAGAGAACAAUAGGAUGAUGAGUGCAGUCCGUGCGUUGUAACAGACUCGAGGGACGUUGCAUCGUGGAUAAGAAGGCUCGGCAGGAGGAAAGAACCGGAGAAAGAAGGAGGAGGAACGGGCACAAAGGAACGUAUGGUAAGGAGCAACUUGUACCCGUUUUCUUAUAAGGAUUUUCUUCGGAAUGCUGCAGCACUCGCGGGGAAAAAUCAGGUACGCUUCGCUCCUCCGCAAAAUUCUCGCGUCACGGAAAUAUCGCCUUUCGUGCGGAAAAUAUUAAUGGACAAUUAAUGAACUCUCGUACAUACAUUUAUGGCGUUCUUGGUAUCACGGCGAUGCUAUGCCCGUGCGUAAUCGUGUUUAAUAAUUUCGUUUGUACCGAUUUGAGGAAAAUAAUCGCACACAGUGACCAAAAUAUUGCAGACAAAUCAUGCAACUUUUACUCAAAAGUUCGCACUCGAAUGUCGACGAUAUUCACGACAAAAGAAUUAUACUAUUAUAAUUAUAUAUUAAUUUUUAAUCUUGGUCAAAAAUUGCAAGCAUAUGAUUUGAUUAGAAAUUUGAUUAAAAAAUAAGAAAUAUAAAUAAGAAAUAUUCUACAAGAAA